Molecule: unclassified non-coding RNA, 200 nt
Filed under: Hevea brasiliensis (rubber tree)
Lineage: Eukaryota; Viridiplantae; Streptophyta; Magnoliopsida; Malpighiales; Euphorbiaceae
Source: RNAcentral
UUCGGCCAUCUCGUUGCGGAUUGCAAUCCCUACGACGCUUACCUGCCGCCAGAUCCCGACAAUCCGGCCAGCUUCAUCGAGAAGUCCGAAGACAGCGGUGCAGCAUGAUGACCAUCGAUGAAAUUUUCGCUGAUGANNNGCAAUCCUCCCUCGGAGCGCUCGCUUCCGUGGGAAGAGAUGCGCGGCGGCGGCGGCGUCGU